RNAcentral lists this unclassified non-coding RNA (314 nucleotides) under plant metagenome. Its description in RNAcentral is "partial contains 5.8S ribosomal RNA, internal transcribed spacer 2, and large subunit ribosomal RNA". The stretch from base 1 to 105 matches the Rfam family "5.8S ribosomal RNA", at positions 50 to 154 of the family's 154-position model. The record is from RNAcentral.
GAAAUGCGAUAAUUAAUGUGAAUUGCAGAAUUCAGUGAAUCAUCGAGUCUUUGAACGCACAUUGCGCCCCCUGGUAUUCCGGGGGGCAUGCCUGUCCGAGCGUCAUUGCUGCCCUCAAGCACGGCUUGUGUGUUGGGCUUCCGUCCCUGGCAACGGGGACGGGCCCAAAAGGCAGUGGCGGCACCAUGUCUGGUCCUCGAGCGUAUGGGGCUUUGUCACCCGCUCCCGUAGGUCCAGCUGGCAGCUAGCCUCGCAACCAAUCUUUUUAACCAAGUUGACCUCGGAUCAGGUAGGGAUACCCGCUGAACUUAAGC